ACCCGCUGAACUUAAGCAUAUCAAUAAGCGGAGGAAAAGAAACCAACAGGGAUUGCCUCAGUAACGGCGAGUGAAGCGGCAACAGCUCAAAUUUGAAAUCUGGCCUCACGGUCCGAGUUGUAAUUUGUAGAGGAUGCUUUUGGCGAGGUGCUUUCCGAGUUCCCUGGAACGGGACGCCAUAGAGGGUGAGAGCCCCGUACGGUAAGACCACCGAGCCUCUGUAAAGCUCCUUCGACGAGUCGAGUAGUUUGGGAAUGCUGCUCUAAAUGGGAGGUGUACGUCUUCUAAAGCUAAAUACCGGCCAGAGACCGAUAGCGCACAAGUAGAGUGAUCGAAAGAUGAAAAGCACUUUGAAAAGAGGGUUAAAAAGUACGUGAAAUUGUUGAAAGGGAAGCAUUCAUAACCAGACUUGGGCUUGGUUGAACAUCCGGCGUUCUCGCCGGUGCACUCUGCCAGUCCAGGCCAGCAUCAGUUUGCCCCGGGGGACAAAGGCGGUGGGAAUGUGGCUCCCUUCGGGGAGUGUUAUAGCCCGCCGUGUAAUGCCCUGGGGCGGACUGAGGAACGCGCUUCGGCACGGAUGCAGGCGUAAUGGUCAUCAAUGACCCGUCUUGAACACGGACCAAGGAG
This 627-nucleotide ribosomal RNA is filed under the name uncultured fungus. RNAcentral's name for it is "eukaryotic LSU rRNA". It matches the Rfam family "Eukaryotic large subunit ribosomal RNA", at positions 23 to 673 of the family's 3401-position model. Lineage: Eukaryota; Fungi. The record is from RNAcentral.